Molecule: long non-coding RNA, 3947 nt
Organism: Dermochelys coriacea (leatherback sea turtle)
Lineage: Eukaryota; Metazoa; Chordata; Testudines; Dermochelyidae
Exons: 3
Source: RefSeq, a predicted model, not a curated record
UUGACUGCAGCACCAGCCCGGCUCUAGGUGUGUUUCAGUGCAAGGCAAUGCUACCCUCUGUGGGCUGCUGGCUGAACAGCUGGCUAACUUUGGGUAUGCACCUUAGCAGCGGCAUGGGAGAGAGCUCCAGGAGACCCGGUGGGGGGCAGCUGAGUUCUGAGAAGAGCUGGAACAGACCCUGCAUCGAGAUGCAGCCAGCUCUGGGGUGGAACAUGGCAGCACAGCACAAAGAAAGAAAGAGUCCUGUUGCCCGUGGGAACUGAUGGUCUUUAUGGAGGAAGGCUCCUGGAUGCAGCCUAGCACCACACACGGAAUCCAGAAACCCAGCACAUCUGAACCCCACCCGUCGCUGCUCUGGGGCCCAAGCGAGACUCCCACGGAGAGCCCAGAGACUGGUGGAGGAGGCUGCAGUGCUGAGUGGGGGAUGGGGAUUUUAACCAGCCAGGAUGCAAGCUGCAGUCUCCGGCUCCGUUACCUGCUACUCGCACCAGCCUCUUUGCUCAGUCCCUGCGGAACUGAGCACCUUGGUCCGGUAACUACUUGGCUGCCUGUGACGGGAAGGCUGUGGCGGGUUAUGGCUGCAUGCUGAGCAGAGAGGAUGCCAAGGGUUUCAAUUAGCUUUAGCUUCAUUAGAGCGCCCGAUAGGUUGGCCGGCUGAGUGCAGCAGCUCGGGGCGGGCCCGGGGUGCAGCAGGAGGAGGGAGCAGUGCGGGGAGCAAAGCGGGCAGCUGGCUUAGAUAAGAUCCCAAGAUGCAGAGGUGGAUGCCAUGGUUUGGGCAGUCCUGGCUCCUUGCUCCAUAGCCCCAGCUGACGGGGCAAUGCCUGAGCCCUCCCUUUCCUACAGCACUGUAAUGCAGCCAUACUGUUCUUGCCACCGCGACAGCUGUGCUGGACAGGGGGCUUCCCGGGGGCUGAGAGCUCAGUGCCACUUCAUGCUCUUGCUUUGAGUUUAUCUCCAGGGAAUCUACUGCUGGGAAAGGAGCCCAACAGGGUGUCCUGGCACGGGAAUUCUUCUGUCCACAGAGCAGGUCUCCCGUUGGCAGCGUGAGCUCUCUGCCCUGCCCCAUACAUACCUUCACUGACAUAGGGAAGGGCUGAGAGAGGGGUCUGACUCCACAGCCUGCUUGUUCACCUCCCUCUGCUGAGCCUGCCAGCAUGGGGGCAUGGGAGGGGGUGUUGUGAUGGGGUCAUCUGUCUGGUAGGGUCUCUGUUCUCCUGGCAUACAGGCCUCCCAGGGGCAUUUUCUUGGCACAGGGAACUCUGCCUGCACCCAGGUAUAGAAAAGGCUCAGCACAGGUUGGGCAUGAGCCGGCCCAAAGAGGGAGGGGACAACUGGCCAGGACAUUCCUGCGCCCCAAGAUUGUGCACCCUUGUGAAUGCCCAUGGGGGAGCACCGACCUAGAGCCACAACUUGGGCUGCCCUGGGCCACACCGGGGGCUGCACCAACCCCCGGAGCAACUGAACUGGGGAGGUGCAAACUGCUUCCCCUCUGACCCUGGGCUAGGAUGCAUCUGCCACGGAGCAGCCAGCCCCAGCCCUAGCCCUGGCCUGGAUUCAAACCGUUGGCCAGGAGCUCACCGGCUGAGUGUGUGUCCCCCCCCCCCCGUCACCUGGAACUGGCCACUGCAGCCAAUCCCCCUCCCAGGGCUGGCGGGUGCAGAACUGCUGGGCUGGGCUGCAUCCUGCUGGAACGUUCCCAGCCCAUGCCUGGCCCUCUCUCAGCGGCUCUGGCUGAUGGUGGGAGCUGCUUGGCUUGGCUGCUGGGUUUGUGAGCGAGGCCCACAACACACCUGUGCCCUGUGAUUCAUGGGGCUGGGGUGGACCCUCCUCUAUCCUAGGGCACAUGGGGUGGUAGAUUCUCAACAGGGCUCCACAGUCUCUCUCUCCCCCCUCACCUGCCUGCCCCCCAAGGCGGGGUUCUCCUGCUGCAUUUGCUCCCUUUCUUUUCUCUUCCUCUCUGGGCCCUGGGGGCUGGAUAUGUUGUCACAGGCCAGCUGCAGGGGCAUCCUGAGCGCAGAGCGGGGCAUGGAGAUCACUGAGGGAGCUACGUCCCUCUGAGAUGUGUUACCUGCAUGGCCAAGCCACAUGGGGACAGCUUUCACCCUGACAGGUGAAUUCAAGCAGGCAGCAAGGGAAGGGCAGCAGGAUGGUGAUAGUGGGCAAGGGAUUUGGGGCAUUCAAGCUGAACUGGUCUCCUAGAAUGUCUGUCUGUCAGUGCCGCCCUGCCCCACCCCUCUGUCUGUAGAUCUGUCUGAGCCGCCCUGCCCCACCCCUCUGUCUGUAGGUCUGUCUGUGCCACCCUGCCCCACUCCUCUGUAGGUCUGUCCGCGCUGCCAUGGCCCACCCCUCUGUCUGUAGGUCUGUCCGUGCCGCCCUGCCCCACCCCUCUGUCUGUAGGUCUGUCCGCGCCACCCUGCCCCACCCCUCUGUCUGUAGGUCUGUCCGCGCAGCCCUGCCCCACCUCUCUGUCUAUAGGUCUUCUGUGCCACCCUGCCUACCCCUCUGUCUGUAGGUCUGUCACAUUCUGAGUGCAUUCUCGCCUUAAGUAUCACUCCAGCAGACUUCUGGUUGGGGCGGGCUGCGCCAGCUCUCUGCUUUUCCUUUGUGACAUUCUCCUUUGCCUAGUGUCUGGGGGAUAUCCCUCCAUCCCCAGCCCCUUCAUGGAGACCUGAUCUCCCCCCAUUUUAUCCUCACCUCUACGGCUUCAUGUCUGCCCAGCUGUCUUGGGCUAGCCUGGAUCAUGAGAUUCCUUUGCUACCUUGAGAGAAGAGACAACUGCUGAGCACGCCUUCUGCCCUCUCUCCUCCCUUCCCUCUAUGUGCUACCUCCAUAGAGCAGCUUGGGGGGCCAGUGAUUGCGAUGUAUCUGCUCACUCUAACAAGCAGUCCUACCCUCUUCAUCAAAUGUGUCCAGGAGGGCUGGGGUGGCUGCUGCUCUGUGAUGUAUGGAAGGGAGCCAGCUUUUGAUCUGCAGUAAAGACUCCAGCCUAUAAACUUCUGCAAGAGCUUAAUGUCUAAUGGCUGCAAAACCCACAGGAAGGAAAGGCACUGAUUAAAAACGGAUAACGCUGCCCAGAAACUGCACACUCACUCCUGGCUAGAAGUCACCAAGCGCUUUCCAUUGCAUGCGUGUUGGCGUUGCUGUGUGUUGUGCUGCUCGGUGUCUUAAAUUGUGUGUGUUUGUUAUAGGCUACUGUGUGUGUGCGGAAUUGUGUUUUUUGUGUUGAUGUCUUACAGUAAUGUGCAUGUAGUGUUUGUCUAUUGUGUUGAUGUGUGUUUACACAGUGUUGGGUCUGUUGUUUUUCUCUGUGCAUGUUGCUGUGUGUGAAAUGGGUUCUGGAUUUGUGUGACACAAACAUGCCCAGGCAGGUGUGUUCCUGUGUCCAACCAUCUUCUCAGUAGUUCACCAAAGGGGGUCACAUGUGGUCUCUCCCCAAAGCUAGGAACUAGCUGAUCUCGCAAUAACAUGGCAAUGCUCGUAUGGGGAAACGAUUCCAGAGCUAUGUUAAGUGGGACACUGUGUUCCAAACAAUCAACAUCUGUGGAGCCAGCCCACAUCUUGUGUUUAGAGGCUGGACCAGAUGCAAGCUUGAGCCUUUACAAAGACAAAAGACCCCCAAGAGAACAGGGGAUCCUCCUGGGCUAGGGAACAGUAGUCUGUAACUGUACAAAGGAAGAAGACAGGGCAGAGGAUGUUGCUCAUUAUGGAGGAGACGCUGGCAGCAGGAGUGGCUCAUGAAAGGUGGAUUGCCCGUGGGCAACUACUGCAAGGACUGACCAUUGGGUGAGAAAUACCUUAUUAGAUGGGAAAAUAACUCACUAAGAAGUACAGGCUAUCGAUUGCACUUUGUAUAUUUUUACCUGUAACCUUGUAUUUCCAAACCCUUACACUUGCUUGUAUUUGAAGCUCUGACACACUGUGAAAUAGACUUGUUUGGUUUUACCAUA